AAUAACGCCUGGGCAGGGAAAAGUCAGAGGAUACUGCAGUGGAGUCCUUAGCAGUUCUCAUGUGCAAAUUGGUGGUCUGACCUGGGUGUAGGGAUGAAAGACUAAUGGA
This 109-nucleotide non-coding RNA is filed under the name Tupaia belangeri chinensis (Chinese tree shrew). RNAcentral's name for it is "Tupaia chinensis (Chinese tree shrew) Eukaryotic large subunit ribosomal RNA". It matches the Rfam family "Eukaryotic large subunit ribosomal RNA", at positions 829 to 938 of the family's 3401-position model. The record is from Rfam by way of RNAcentral. Lineage: Eukaryota; Metazoa; Chordata; Mammalia; Scandentia; Tupaiidae.